UACGGAGGAUCCAAGCGUUAUCCGGAUUUAUUGGGUUUAAAGGGUGCGUAGGCGGCUUAUUAAGUCAGGGGUGAAAGACGGUAGCUCAACUAUCGCAGUGCCCUUGAUACUGAUGGGCUUGAAUGUACUAGAGGUAGGCGGAAUGUGACAAGUAGCGGUGAAAUGCAUAGAUAUGUCACAGAACACCGAUUGCGAAGGCAGCUCACAAAACUGUAACUGACGCUGAGGCACGAAAGCGUGGGGAGCAAACAGG
This 253-nucleotide ribosomal RNA is filed under the name uncultured bacterium. RNAcentral's name for it is "partial 16S ribosomal RNA". It matches the Rfam family "Bacterial small subunit ribosomal RNA", at positions 524 to 776 of the family's 1533-position model. The record is from RNAcentral.